AGAGUUUGAUCCUGGCUCAGAAUGAACGCUGGCGGCGUGCCUUACACAUGCAAGUCGAGCGAGGCGCGGGGGCAACCCCGCAGUCGAGCGGCGAACGGGUGAGUAACACGUGGAUAACCUGCCCUGAGGCGUGGAACAACCAGGGGAAACUCUGGCUAAUACCGCAUGAUACCGAGAGGUCAAAGGGGGCUCGCAAGGGCUCUCGCCACAGGAGGGGUCCGCGUCCGAUUAGCUAGUUGGUAGGGUAAUGGCCUACCAAGGCGACGAUCGGUAGCCGGCCUGAGAGGGUGAUCGGCCACACUGGAACUGAGACACGGUCCAGACUCCUACGGGAGGCAGCAGUGGGGAAUUUUGCGCAAUGGGCUAACGCCUGACGCAGCAACGCCGCGUGGAGGAUGAAGGUCUUUGGAUUGUAAACUCCUGUCAGCAGGGAAAAAGCGAAUUGGCCUAAUACGCCAGUGAGUUGAUUGUACCUCAGAGGAA
Molecule: ribosomal RNA, 483 nt
Filed under: uncultured bacterium
Lineage: Bacteria
Description: bacterial SSU rRNA
Rfam family: Bacterial small subunit ribosomal RNA
Source: RNAcentral